UUCCUGGAGGCUCAGACGGUAAAGAAUCUGCCUGCAAUGCAGAAGACCCAGGUUCCAUCUCUGGGUCGGGAAG
Ovis aries (sheep) is the source of this 73-nucleotide non-coding RNA. NCBI's taxonomy places the organism in Eukaryota, Metazoa, Chordata, Mammalia, Artiodactyla, Bovidae. The record is from Rfam.